Molecule: ribosomal RNA, 253 nt
Filed under: uncultured bacterium
Lineage: Bacteria
Description: partial 16S ribosomal RNA
Rfam family: Bacterial small subunit ribosomal RNA
Source: RNAcentral
UACGUAGGUGGCAAGCGUUGUCCGGAUUUAUUGGGUUUAAAGGGUGCGUAGGUGGUUGGUUAAGUCCGUGGUGAAAGACGAUCGCUCAACGAUUGCAGUGCCAUGGAUACUGACCGACUUGAAUGACGUUGAGGUGGGCGGAAUUGACCGUGUAGCGGUGAAAUGCUUAGAUAUGGUCAAGAACCCCGAUUGCGUAGGCAGCUCACUGGACGUUUAUUGACACUGAGGCACGAGAGUGUGGGGAUCAAACAGG